UACAGAGGUCCCAAGCGUUGUUCGGAUUCACUGGGCGUAAAGGGUGCGUAGGUGGCAAGGUAAGUUCGAUGUGAAAUCCCCGGGCUCAACCCGGGAACUGCAUUGAAUACUCUCUUGCUCGAGGGUCGGAGGGGAGACUGGAAUUCCCGGUGUAGCAGUGAAAUGCGUAGAUAUCGAGAGGAACACCAGUGGCGAAGGCGAGUCUCUGGACGACACCUGACACUGAGGCACGAAAGCUAGGGGAGCAAACAGG
This 253-nucleotide ribosomal RNA is filed under the name uncultured bacterium. Its description in RNAcentral is "partial 16S ribosomal RNA". It matches the Rfam family "Bacterial small subunit ribosomal RNA", at positions 524 to 776 of the family's 1533-position model. The record is from RNAcentral.